This 400-nucleotide ribosomal RNA is filed under the name uncultured bacterium. Its description in RNAcentral is "bacterial SSU rRNA". It matches the Rfam family "Bacterial small subunit ribosomal RNA", at positions 355 to 771 of the family's 1533-position model. The record is from RNAcentral.
UAGGGAAUAUUGCACAAUGGGCGAAAGCCUGAUGCAGCAACGCCGCGUGCGCGAUGAAGGCCUUCGGGUCGUAAAGCGCUUUUCGGGGAGAUGAGGAAGGACAGUAUCCCCGGAAUAAGUCUCGGCUAACUACGUGCCAGCAGCCGCGGUAACACGUAGGAGGCAAGCGUUAUCCGAAUUUACUGGGCGUAAAGCGCGUGCAGGCGGUUCGGUAAGUUGGAUGUGAAAUCUCCUGGCUCAACUGGGAGAGGUCGUUCAAUACUGUCGGACUAGAGGAUGGUAGAGGGAGGUGGAAUUCCCGGUGUAGUGGUGAAAUGCGUAGAUAUCGGGAGGAACACCAGUGGCGAAAGCGGCCUCCUGGACCAUUCCUGACGCUCAGACGCGAAAGCUAGGGGAGCGA